CGUACUCUUCCCCCUACAUUCGCACGAAUAAAAACUCGCACUUCAAACUACAUAAACUUCGAUUCAUUUUAAAAGCCGCAAAAGUGGCAGGGAUUCGAAGCCAUAAGCGGCCAGUCCCAAAAACAUUAAAACGCCCACACUCGGCCGAGAGAAACGCAAAAACAACAAAUACAUAAAAAAAACUUCUCUCUCGAAAGAAACUGCAAACCAUGAACGUCUUCGGGCUCUUACGCCUCACCUUCAA
Molecule: long non-coding RNA, 244 nt
Filed under: Brassica napus (rape)
Lineage: Eukaryota; Viridiplantae; Streptophyta; Magnoliopsida; Brassicales; Brassicaceae
Description: long non-coding RNA (BNAP_LNC014016)
Source: RNAcentral